RNA transcript from Coccinella septempunctata (seven-spotted ladybird), 3999 nucleotides. RefSeq lists it as uncharacterized. The transcript is spliced from 3 exons. Lineage: Eukaryota; Metazoa; Arthropoda; Insecta; Coleoptera; Coccinellidae. The record is from RefSeq and is a predicted model, not a curated record.
AUCUCCAACUCAAUCAUUUGGUAACAGUCCACUUUUAAGUAAUUGCCAAAAAUCUCAACACCCAGAUUUUUGAACAUUUGGUCCUUCGAGCCGGAUGGUUGAGUUGGAAUAAUCAUUCAUUCAUAUCACAUUCAUCUCAAAAAGGUCAUGUCUCAAAAGUCGGGAAGAUCUUCUCCAUCUCCAAAAGAGGAUGACGCUCAACUCCAGGUCCCUCCUACUCGAUCAUCCAGAUCUUCCACAUCUUCGCAGCCUGAUGUGGGACCUCAAACUCGCUCGGCUGGUCUUCCCACCAACCUCAAAUUGAAAGUCGCUACUCAAAUGAGUAGACUACAACUCAUGAAGGACAUCUUCUCCAAGCUUUCCAACGUCUCAACAUGGACUGUGCAAGACUUGUCCCACACUCAAGAACAGCUGCAAGACCUUCAUAAGAACUUCUCAAAGACUCACUCGUAUUUUGAGUCAGCGUGGCCUGAGUCUUGUCUCGACCACGAAUACUUCGCAUCCUCAGUCUUCUUCGAGGAAUACUCUCUAUUCCAAUCAGCCAUAUCGAAAUUAAUCCAACUCAAUAUGUCACUCAAUCCUGUGGAUUCACAGCCAUCCACUUCUGCUCAAGCCCCUCAGUCUUCUCAAACUCGUCCUCGAUUGCCUGACAUCUCAAUUCCCACCUUCUCAGGCGACUUCUCAAAAUGGCCUGCAUUCCGAGACCUUUUUCAAUCACUCGUGAUCAAUAGCACCUCAAUUUCUGACAUUGAAAGGUUACAUUACCUUCGAACAUGUCUCUCUCAAGAACCUCUCGACACCAUCUCUAGUCUUCCCUUAACGGAAGUCUCGUUCCCCAUAGCUUGGAAGAAGCUUAUGGAUAAAUAUGAAAAUAAAAGGCUGCUCCUCUCUUCUCAAUACUCAAAACUUCUCUCCUUCUCAUUGGCGAAUCAGAAAAAUUCUACCGCCUCAUCUCUUCGUCAAUUUAUUGACAGCAUCGUCAAUCCUCUCCAAAGUUUGAAAGCUCUAGGUGAAGAUCUAGAGCAGAACAAUAAUCUUUUGGUGUUUCAUAUCAUCAACCGUAUGGAUCACGCCUCUCGAACACAUUGGGAAACUCUCAUCUCCUCUAAUAACGAAUUUCCCUCCUUCGCUCAGUUGAUGGAGUUCCUCCAAUCUCGCUCCAGAGCUCUAGAAUGGACUGAGUCCAACCAGAGACAGUCACCUCAAGAAUCAUCUCGCUCUCGCACAACAGUGCAUACAAUUUCUCAAAAGGCUACAGCUCAAACUAAACCUUCUCCAUCACUCACCUCAAGCAAACCGGCCUCCUCGAACACUCCAAUCUCAAAAGUCUCUUCUAUGCCCAACUACACCUGCGAUGAUUGUGGACACGACCACUUUAUUGCAGAUUGCCCUCGCUUCUCCAAACGCUCACCUCAAGAAAAAGCUGAUGUAGUAUUACAUCGCAUCCUCUGCUCCAACUGCCUCGGUAGACAUCAUCGCCACUCUUGCAGAACGACAAAGAUCUGCAAAAUCUGUGGAAGUCGUCAUCACACUCUUUUACAUGAUGCUCCUCUCAGCAGUAAACCACACUGCAAAGGUAAUACUACAUCAGAGUUCCACCGGUACCCCCUCGAGUGCUUCCACAAUACGCUCUCACAUCUCAAAAAUCUGCUCAAAGGGAGCUACCUCAACCACGACUCAACACUCUCCUCGCCACUGCCAUCGCCCAUCUCAUCACCUCAACAGGAUCACACACGGUUCGACUACUCAUCGACAGUGGAUCCGAGCUGACCUUCAUCUCUCAAGAUCUAGCCAGAAAACUCAACAUCUCUAGAAGGAAGUCGCAUGUUGUAAUUGUGGGAAUUCAUGGAAAGACUUCUAAGACACAAGGAUCUCUCGCCCUCACUCUCAAGUCGACGUAUGACCAUCAAACCAUAAAUAUUGAUGCUCACCUUCUCUCAUCAUCUUUCUCUAAUUUGCCUUCCUUCUAUACAUGUUUUCAGCAAUCUCUACAUCUCCAGCAUCUCAAGUUAGCUGAUCCAGAAUACCACAUCUCAAGAGCCAUCGACAUCAUUUUGGGUGCUGAUGUAUAUGGCUCAGUUGUUCUUCCUCAGAUGAAAAAAGGCCCUCCAUCAUCUCCAAUCGCGCAACUCUCAAUCUUCGGCUGGCUAAUCCUAGGACCUGUGUGUCAAGAACAGGAACGCCUUCCAAUUCAAUCUCCAAUGUUUCACACCAUCUCACAACAGUCACAUACGGAACUAGAUCAGCUCAAUUUUUGGCAAUCAGAGUUCUUCUCCAACUUCUCAAGAUGAGGGUCACAACUUUCCACUAGCCAUUCCUCCAUCAACUUCUCGAAAUUGCCAAACAACUCCAGAACCUUUGCAUGGCGGCCGGCCUUCCGCUAGCAAAAUGGCAGUCAAACGUCUCAAGUCUCUCACACGUCGUUCAAGAGGAAGAAUCAACACCCACUCCAAUCUCAUUCAAUGAAGGUUCUCACUCAACUAAAGUGUUAGGUCUAAUCUGGUACCCUCAAGAAGACUAUUUCACUUUUAAAGUCAGCUCCAAUCUAUCUGGGUCUUUGAUCACCAAGCGAUCAGUUCUAUCUCAUAUUGCUAAAAUAUUUGAUCCACUCGGUUUAGUCUCCCCUGUUACGAUUAGGGCUAAAAUAUUGUUGCAGGAAUUAUGGCUCCGAAAGUUAUCAUGGGACGAACCUCUACCUCAACUACUCCAACAGAAAUGGUACGACAUCAGUGAAGAUCUCUCCAGGCUGGCCAGCAUCACAAUUCCAAGAUGGAUUAACACUCAAGAGGGUUCUUUCAUUCAACUCCACGGCUUCUCUGAUGCAUCUCAACUCGCCAUUUCAGCCGUUCUCUACCUUCUCGUUCGAACUCCGUCCAAGGAAUGCAAAGUUACAAUGCUUUGCUCCAAAACCAAAGUAUCGCCUUUAAAACCACUCACAAUCCCGAGACUCGAAUUAUCAGCUGCUCUUCUUCUCUUUCGACUCGUUAAUUAUGCGCAUAAUGUUUUAGCUCUCAACAUUCACUCAACCACUCUAUGGACGGACUCCUCAAUCACUCUAGCUUGGAUCAACACUCACCCUUCACGUUGGAAGGACUUUGUACGGAACAGAGUUGCAACAAUCCAAGAUCUAACUCCAAGGGCCCAUUGGAGGUAUAUUUCCGGCAAAGACAAUCCUGCCGACUGUGCAUCACGAGGGUUAACUUCAUCUCAACUUCGCAACCACUCGCUAUGGUGGACGGGACCAUCAUGGCUUUCCAAGUCAGAAGAUUCAUGGCCAAAUCGUCAGCCGGCACCGACAACCGACCAUGAAUCAGAAGCAAGACCAGCCAUCUCCAUACUCACCUCCACUACGUCAGACUACUCAUGGGAUCUCAUCUACAGAUGAAACUCACCAAACAACUCUACAUGUACAAGGCACUGUGGCACCGCUCUCAACAACUCAUGGCACAACUACCCACAUCUCAAGUGCAGCCAUCUCAUCCAUUCCUCCACACUCUGAGGAUUGAAAGCAGUCUUCUCGCUCCAGUUAUGGGUGGAUUGAGUAGCUCAGACACUGGAGUGAUGGAUUGCCUCAACUUCCUCACAAUGGAUAAUUUACGAAGACCUACUCGAUUAUAAUCAACUACAUUAAUUAUGGCGGCCGGAAUGUUAAAAAUUGGAGUAAUUUUUAACCCAACUCUAUCAGCUGGAUGCACAUCUCUAUCAUCUCAGUGACUGCGUUUAUCGUUACAUGCUUCUGUGAACGUAACCUUAAAAUCGCUGUCAAUCAGCUGUUAAAAAAAAACCGGUGGAACCUGUUGAAUCUGCUCAAUUUAUUUCAUUCUCUUUAGAUUCUUCGUUCGCUCAAGUGAAUUGGAACUUGGUGUGAAUUAUUAUCGAGGUUUUAGUGCACUCUUAUUCUACAUUUAUUCCACUCAAAUUAUAAUAAUAUUAAUUCAGAAUUAUUAUAGGAUUAACAUCUCAAAAAGGUACAGUACUUUUUUCACUCAACAAAAAAUG